Molecule: ribosomal RNA, 270 nt
Filed under: Staphylococcus epidermidis
Lineage: Bacteria; Bacillati; Bacillota; Bacilli; Caryophanales; Staphylococcaceae
Description: partial 16S ribosomal RNA
Rfam family: Bacterial small subunit ribosomal RNA
Source: RNAcentral
CAAGCAAAUCCCAUAAAGUUGUUCUCAGUUCGGAUUGUAGUCUGCAACUCGACUAUAUGAAGCUGGAAUCGCUAGUAAUCGUAGAUCAGCAUGCUACGGUGAAUACGUUCCCGGGUCUUGUACACACCGCCCGUCACACCACGAGAGUUUGUAACACCCGAAGCCGGUGGAGUAACCAUUUGGAGCUAGCCGUCGAAGGUGGGACAAAUGAUUGGGGUGAAGUCGUAACAAGGUAGCCGUAUCGGAAGGUGCGGCUGGAUCACCUCCUUU